CCCGGCGACCGGCGCACGGGUGAGUAACACGUAUGCAACCUGGCCGUGACAGAUGGAUAACCGGGAGAAAUCCCGCCUAAUACAACAUAAUGCCGGGAGGGGACAUCCCCUGCCGGCCAAAGGGGGCGACCCCGGUCACGGAUGGGCAUGACGGCGCAUUAGGUAGUUGGUGGGGCAACGGCCCACCAAGCCGACGAUGCGCAGGGGUUCUGAGAGGAAGGUCCCCCACAUUGGAACUGAGACACGGUCCAAACUCCUACGGAAGGCAGCAG
Molecule: ribosomal RNA, 272 nt
Filed under: uncultured bacterium
Lineage: Bacteria
Description: partial 16S ribosomal RNA
Rfam family: Bacterial small subunit ribosomal RNA
Source: RNAcentral